Non-coding RNA from Microcebus murinus (gray mouse lemur), 367 nucleotides. Lineage: Eukaryota; Metazoa; Chordata; Mammalia; Primates; Cheirogaleidae. The record is from RefSeq and is a predicted model, not a curated record.
CUGCUAGAAUUCUAGAAGCCACGAAAGAAAACAAGGAGAGGAAGGAAGUAGGGGGGCAGCGGGAGGGGAGGGGCCGGGGACUUGAGCCUGCGAACCCCCCUGUAUCCUCCCAGCUCCUGCGUGAUGACGUCACCCCCGCAUGGCAGCCGGCCGAGGCCCAGACAGAGUGAAUAGAACGCUGAAUAAAAAUCAGCCCCUGCCGCACAAUUGCAGGAUUGAAAGACGUCCUUCCUCCCCAGAUCCGUGCUCCCCUCCCUCCCGGGUCUCCAGAGUGGAACUUUCUCCAAAAAUAAAAUGAGAUAAAACAAGACGCACAACGGCUCUGGGAGGCCAAGGAGGGGAGAGCCGGCGUCCGUGCGGGGCGAGG